AUGAGGAGCUUGCUCCUCUGACGUUAGCGGCGGACGGGUGAGUAACACGUGGAUAACCUACCUAUAAGACUGGGAUAACUACGGGAAACCGGAGCUAAUACCGGAUAAUAUAUUGAACCGCAUGGUUCAAUAGUGAAAGACGGUUUUGCUGUCACUUAUAGAUGGAUCCGCGCCGCAUUAGCUAGUUGGUAAGGUAACGGCUUACCAAGGCAACGAUGCGUAGCCGACCUGAGAGGGUGAUCGGCCACACUGGAACUGAGACACGGUCCAGACUCCUACGGGAGGCAGCAGUAGGGAAUCUUCCGCAAUGGGCGAAAGCCUGACGGAGCAACGCCGCGUGAGUGAUGAAGGUCUUCGGAUCGUAAAACUCUGUUAUUAGGGAAGAACAAAUGUGUAAGUAACUAUGCACGUCUUGACGGUACCUAAUCAGAAAGCCACGGCUAACUACGUGCCAGCAGCCGCGGUAAUACGUAGGUGGCAAGCGUUAUCCGGAAUUAUUGGGCGUAAAGCGCGCGUAGGCGGUUUUUUAAGUCUGAUGUGAAAGCCCACGGCUCAACCGUGGAGGGUCAUUGGAAACUGGAAAACUUGAGUGCAGAAGAGGGAAGUGGAAUUCCAUGUGUAGCGGUGAAAUGCGCAGAGAUAUGGAGGAACACCAGUGGCGA
Molecule: ribosomal RNA, 662 nt
Filed under: uncultured Staphylococcus sp.
Lineage: Bacteria; Bacillati; Bacillota; Bacilli; Caryophanales; Staphylococcaceae
Description: bacterial SSU rRNA
Rfam family: Bacterial small subunit ribosomal RNA
Source: RNAcentral